Molecule: ribosomal RNA, 496 nt
Filed under: uncultured bacterium
Lineage: Bacteria
Description: partial 16S ribosomal RNA
Rfam family: Bacterial small subunit ribosomal RNA
Source: RNAcentral
AUGAACGCUGGCGGCGUGCCUAAUACAUGCCAGUCGAGCGAACAGACGAGGAGCUUGCUCCUUCGACGUUAGCGGCGGACGGGUGAGUAACACGUAGGUAACCUACCUAUAAGACUGGGAUAACUUCGGGAAACCGGAGCUAAUACCGGAUAAUAUUUCAAACCGCAUGGUUCGAUAGUGAAAGAUGGCUUUGCUAUCACUUAUAGAUGGACCUGCGCCGUAUUAGCUAGCUGGUAAGGUAACGGCUUACCAAGGCAACGAUACGUAGCCGACCUGAGAGGGUGAUCUGCCACACUGGAACUGAGACACGGUCCAGACUCCUACGGGAGGCAGCAGUAGGGAAUCUUCCGCAAUGGGCGAAAGCCUGACGGAGCAACGCCGCGUGAGUGAUGAAGGUCUUCGGAUCGUAAAACUCUGUUAUUAGGGAAGAACAAACGUGUAAGUAACUGUGCACGUCUUGACGGUACCUAAUCAGAAAGCCACGGCUAACUACGUG